GCCAAAUUGGCCACGGCGUCGCGAGCGUGCGCCGCUCGCGCACGCUCGCGACGCGUGUCCCCGCACAUGCCGUCCUUAUCUCGCUCGCAGGCCAGCUCGCUCCUCUCCCGAAGCCUCUCCAUGCUGCCUGAGCCGCCCACGCCUCUCCCUCUCCUUCUCGCGCGAGCGCCGAGCCAUGGCCGCCGCCUCCGCCUAGCUCGCCGUGGAGCUCCCUCCUCCGGCCUCCCUAGGCUCGAACCAACCUGCCCACAAGCUUCCUCACACCCCACCGGUGCUCCUCAGCCCGAGCCCGCCCCGAAUCGGCCGCCGAAACCUCGCUGUGGUCGCUCACCGUCGCCGCCGGCCGCCUGCUUCCGUCGCCGGCCCUCUUCCGGCCACCCCAGCAUCAACCGAGACCACCCAGAGAGCGCACUCUUGAACAGUGGAUCACUACUUACUGCUUACCAACGAAGUCAAAAGGAGAAAGUCAGCAAAGGUACACGCAAGCUCGGGCUCUUGACCAUUGACCAAAGCAGCAUCCCAUAAAAGUAUACUCUGGCAGAGAGACCAUAC
Molecule: long non-coding RNA, 552 nt
Organism: Panicum virgatum (switchgrass)
Lineage: Eukaryota; Viridiplantae; Streptophyta; Magnoliopsida; Poales; Poaceae
Exons: 3
Source: RefSeq, a predicted model, not a curated record